GGAACUUGUAGAAAAUCUAUUGAAUGGACAAUGAGAAGUAGAUGCAUCAGGUGCAAAGACAUCAGAUCAACUCUCUGGAUAUCAUCCCAGCAGUGAGUCUGUUCUAGUUUUCUCUUACAAGAUGACAAUGGCAGUGCAGAGACGCACAAAACUAUAUACAUAUGGCAUUGAUCAAAUCAUUACUUCUACAAAAUAUAAUUUACAAUAUUCAAAUAUUUCAAUCUUUUCUCUCCAAAACCCUCAAACUUCUCACCUCUUAAAGAUAGAAGAUGA
This 273-nucleotide unclassified non-coding RNA is filed under the name Hevea brasiliensis (rubber tree). Lineage: Eukaryota; Viridiplantae; Streptophyta; Magnoliopsida; Malpighiales; Euphorbiaceae. The record is from RNAcentral.